AUAGUUGCUAAAGUGCUUAGUCUGCGAUCCCCGUGUGAAAGCACUGUCCGACAAAGACUCUUCCAGAGAUUAUAAGCAGAACUCAAUAUGGCUUUCAAGCUUCCGUAUGAUAAGAGAGCGAGCCCGCCUAAAAGAGAGGUAUGACUUCCAAGGUCUUGUCUUAAGGGGAAUAGGGCACUAUACCUGAGAGGCUUCCAGAGCUAGUUAAAGGGGGAGGAAGGACAGAAUGAAUGAAAUCCCCUCUUCGCCAAAGGAAAAAAGUCUUUCAAUCUUCCGUAUUAUAAAAGAGCGAGCCCGCCUAAAAGAGAGGUAUGACAUCCAAGGUCUUGUCUUAAGGUGAAUAAGGCACUAUACCUGAGAGGCUUCCAGAGCUAGUUAAAGGGGGAGGAAGGACAGAAUGAAUGAAAUCCCCUCUUCGCCAAAGGAAAAAAGAAUCACUAAGA
This 443-nucleotide long non-coding RNA is filed under the name Nicotiana benthamiana. RNAcentral describes it as "long non-coding RNA (NBEN_LNC009699)". The record is from RNAcentral. Lineage: Eukaryota; Viridiplantae; Streptophyta; Magnoliopsida; Solanales; Solanaceae.